Molecule: ribosomal RNA, 787 nt
Filed under: Planomonospora sp. ID91907
Lineage: Bacteria; Bacillati; Actinomycetota; Actinomycetes; Streptosporangiales; Streptosporangiaceae
Description: bacterial SSU rRNA
Rfam family: Bacterial small subunit ribosomal RNA
Source: RNAcentral
GACGAACGCUGGCGGCGUGCUUAACACAUGCAAGUCGAGCGGAAAGGCCCUUCGGGGUACUCGAGCGGCGAACGGGUGAGUAACACGUGAGCAACCUGCCCCUGACUCUGGGAUAAGCCCGGGAAACUGGGUCUAAUACCGGAUACGACCACUUGCGGCAUCGCAUGGUGGUGGAAAGUUUUUUCGGUCGGGGAUGGGCUCGCGGCCUAUCAGCUUGUUGGUGAGGUAGUGGCUCACCAAGGCGACGACGGGUAGCCGGCCUGAGAGGGCGACCGGCCACACUGGGACUGAGACACGGCCCAGACUCCUACGGGAGGCAGCAGUGGGGAAUAUUGCGCAAUGGGCGGAAGCCUGACGCAGCGACGCCGCGUGGGGGAUGACGGCCUUCGGGUUGUAAACCUCUUUCAGCAGGGACGAAGUUGACGUGUACCUGCAGAAGAAGCGCCGGCUAACUACGUGCCAGCAGCCGCGGUAAUACGUAGGGCGCGAGCGUUGUCCGGAAUUAUUGGGCGUAAAGAGCUCGUAGGUGGCUUGUCGCGUCGGGUGUGAAAGCUUGGGGCUUAACUCCAGGUCUGCAUCCGAUACGGGCUGGCUAGAGGUAGGUAGGGGCAAGCGGAAUUCCUGGUGUAGCGGUGAAAUGCGCAGAUAUCAGGAGGAACACCGGUGGCGAAGGCGGCUUGCUGGGCCUUACCUGACGCUGAGGAGCGAAAGCGUGGGGAGCGAACAGGAUUAGAUACCCUGGUAGUCCACGCUGUAAACGUUGGGCGCUAGGUGUGGGGGCCUUCCA